RNAcentral lists this ribosomal RNA (510 nucleotides) under uncultured bacterium. RNAcentral describes it as "partial 16S ribosomal RNA". It matches the Rfam family "Bacterial small subunit ribosomal RNA", at positions 28 to 507 of the family's 1533-position model. The record is from RNAcentral.
GACGAACGCUGGCGGCGUGCUUAACACAUGCAAGUCGAACGAAGAGCGAUGGAAGCUUGCUUCUAUCAAUCUUAGUGGCGAACGGGUGAGUAACGCGUAAUCAACCUGCCCUUCAGAGGGGGACAACAGUUGGAAACGACUGCUAAUACCGCAUACGAUCUAAUCUCGGCAUCGAGGAUAGAUGAAAGGUGGCCUCUACAUGUAAGCUAUCACUGAAGGAGGGGAUUGCGUCUGAUUAGCUAGUUGGAGGGGUAACGGCCCACCAAGGCGAUGAUCAGUAGCCGGUAGGAGAGGAUGAAGGGACACAUUGGGACAGAGACAAGGCACAGAAAGCUACAGGAGGCAGCAGAGGGGAAGAGUCCGCAAUGGACGAAAGUAUGACGAAAGAACGCCGAGUGGGAGAUAACGGACUUCGGGUUGUAAAGCUGGGUGAAUCGGGACGAAAGGCCUUAAAGCGAAUAGAGAGAAGGAUAGACGGUACAGGAAAAGAAAGACACGGAGAAAUACGAG